ACACCUCAACUCUCGUGGUCUUCCAUGAUGAGCUUGGACUUUGGGGGUUUGCUGGCCCUGUGGCCGGCUCCUCUCAAACGAAUCAGCUUGCCAGUGUUUGGCGGCGUCACGGGUGUGAUAACCAUCUACGCUUGCGAUCGCCUGCCAGAUAACCCUCAGCGAUGAAGGUUCAUUGGGGCUCACAAAAGUCUCUCCACGGCGAGGACGAAUUUUGAAU
RNAcentral lists this unclassified non-coding RNA (217 nucleotides) under Tomentella ellisii. RNAcentral describes it as "partial internal transcribed spacer 2". The record is from RNAcentral. Lineage: Eukaryota; Fungi; Basidiomycota; Agaricomycetes; Thelephorales; Thelephoraceae.